UACGUAGGGGGCAAGCGUUGUCCGGAUUUAUUGGGCGUAAAGAGCGUGUAGGCGGCCAGGUAGGUCCGUUGUGAAAACUGGAGGCUUAACCUCCAGCUGUCGAUGGAAACCAUCUGGCUAGAGUCCGGAAGAGGAGAGUGGAAUUCCUGGUGUAGCGGUGAAAUGCGUAGAUAUCUGCAGGAACACCCGUGGCGAAAGCGGUGCGCUGGACCACUACUGACGCUGAGGAACGAAAGCUAGGGGAGCAAACAGG
Molecule: ribosomal RNA, 253 nt
Filed under: uncultured bacterium
Lineage: Bacteria
Description: partial 16S ribosomal RNA
Rfam family: Bacterial small subunit ribosomal RNA
Source: RNAcentral